RNAcentral lists this ribosomal RNA (246 nucleotides) under uncultured bacterium. RNAcentral's name for it is "partial 16S ribosomal RNA". It matches the Rfam family "Bacterial small subunit ribosomal RNA", at positions 524 to 769 of the family's 1533-position model. The record is from RNAcentral.
UACGGAGGGUGCAAGCGUUGUCCGGAUUUAUUGGGUUUAAAGGGUGCGUAGGCGGCUAAUUAAGUCAGCGGUGAAAUUCCACAGCUCAACUGUGGAACUGCCAUUGAUACUGGUUGGCUUGAGUACAGAUGAGGUAGGCGGAAUUGACAGUGUAGCGGUGAAAUGCUUAGAUAUUGUCAAGAACACCUAUUGCGAAGGCAGCUUACUAGACUGUAACUGACGCUGAGGCACGAAAGCGUGGGAGUC